RNAcentral lists this ribosomal RNA (200 nucleotides) under uncultured bacterium. RNAcentral describes it as "partial 16S ribosomal RNA". It matches the Rfam family "Bacterial small subunit ribosomal RNA", at positions 8 to 207 of the family's 1533-position model. The record is from RNAcentral.
AGAGUUUGAUCAUGGCUCAGAACGAACGUUAGCGGCGCGCCUAACACAUGCAAGUCGCACGAGAAAGGGCUUCGGCCCCGGUACAGUGGCGCACGGGUGAGUAACACGUGGGUAACCUUUCCCCAGGCGGGGGAUAACCUUCCGAAAGGAGGGCUAAUACCGCAUAAGACCACGGCCUCGAAAGGGGCUGAGGUAAAAGC